AGAGUGAAGCAAUCUUGACAAAGAAGAGAAGAGCCUUAUUAAAGCGAUAACUAUAUUCUAAACUCUUCUUUGUAGCUUAUAAUUGUUAUAUUUGCUCAUCUAGGAGUUUCAACUUUCUUCUUCUUUUUAAUCACCUUGUAAAGGUCUGUUGGUGAGCCCGUAAAACCAACGGUAAAGGUUUGUUGGUGAGCCCGUAAAACCAACGGUGUAGGUUUGUUGGUGAACCUGUAAAACCAAUUGUGAAGGUUCGUCGGUGAGCCCGUAAAACCAACAUAGGUUCUUGGUGAUCCC
Molecule: long non-coding RNA, 291 nt
Filed under: Phoenix dactylifera (date palm)
Lineage: Eukaryota; Viridiplantae; Streptophyta; Magnoliopsida; Arecales; Arecaceae
Description: long non-coding RNA (PDAC_LNC013864)
Source: RNAcentral